GAUUCCCGACUCUCUCACUGUCACUCUCUUAAACUCUCAGACCUCAGUCCCUCGACUCGACAGUUCCCGUCCUUCGACUCCCUCGACUCCCUCGACUCCAAUCCCCUCACCAACCGUCGAUUCUCCUCGACGAAUACAACGGCACCACCCAUCAUCCUCCUCGACAACAUCCCAGAUAACCCAGGCCAUCACCCUUGCCGUCGAUUCUCUCAUGUUCGACAGCAACCCCCGCCGUCGUGAUCGCCAUCACCCCAUCACCGUCGUCGAGGACACUGGUACCAGCCAUCAUCCCUCUAAAAUUUAGCUUUCUGCUCUUGGAAGGUAUCUAGUUUGAGGUAGCUUUGGGCAAGAUGGCAGGAAAGAAGGGAUAAAAAUGACGGGUCUUCGGAUGACAGACGGUCUAAUGCUGAUGAAUAGGACACACCUCUGGAGAAGUUGGAGUCGGACACACCUUGGUUAGACUGAUAUAAUUCAGUGGCAGAGGCAGAGGCUCUCUCUUUUCUAGCGGAGUUCCAGUGGCAGAGGCUCUCUCUUUUCUUAAACAGGUGGUUUUUAAUAAAAAUGUUGUCACUAAUAAGACUGCAUUAUUGCAAUCUGUGCAAUGUGUUUUGUGCAAACUGCAAUCAGUGUAAACUGGAAUCUGUGCAAUCUGUGCAAUAUGUGCAAUUUUUUUCAAACUGCAAUCUGUGAUUUUUUCCAUACUGGAAUCUGUGCAAACUGUAAACUGGAAUCUGUGCAGUUUUUUCAAACUG
RNAcentral lists this small RNA (752 nucleotides) under Malus domestica (apple). RNAcentral describes it as "sRNA MD16G0010900". The record is from RNAcentral. Lineage: Eukaryota; Viridiplantae; Streptophyta; Magnoliopsida; Rosales; Rosaceae.